This 498-nucleotide ribosomal RNA is filed under the name uncultured bacterium. RNAcentral's name for it is "bacterial SSU rRNA". It matches the Rfam family "Bacterial small subunit ribosomal RNA", at positions 383 to 901 of the family's 1533-position model. The record is from RNAcentral.
CUGAUCAGCCAUGCCGCGUGAGUGAUGAAGGCUUUCGGGUUGUAAAGCUCUUUCACUAGGGAAGAUAAUGACGGUACCUAGUAAAGAAACCCCGGCUAACUUCGUGCCAGCAGCCGCGGUAAUACGAAGGGGGCUAGCGUUGUUCGGAAUUACUGGGCGUAAAGGGUACGUAGGCGGUUGGACAAGUCGAUUGUGAAAGCCCCAGGCUCAACCUGGGAACUGCCUUCGAAACUGUUUAACUAGAGUACGUUCGAGGACAGUGGAAUUCCUAGUGUAGGGGUGAAAUUCGUAUAUAUUAGGAGGAAUACCGGUGGCGAAAGCGACUGUCUGGGCCAUUACUGACGCUGAGGUACGAAAGCGUGGGGAGCAAACAGGAUUAGAUACCCUGGUAGUCCACACCGUAAACGAUGAAUGCUAGUCGUCGGGAUCUUAGAUCUCGGUGGAGAAGCUAACGCGUUAAACCCUCCGCCCGGGGACUACCGGCGCCAGGAUAAAACU